RNAcentral lists this long non-coding RNA (581 nucleotides) under Brassica napus (rape). Its description in RNAcentral is "long non-coding RNA (BNAP_LNC016663)". Lineage: Eukaryota; Viridiplantae; Streptophyta; Magnoliopsida; Brassicales; Brassicaceae. The record is from RNAcentral.
UAGAAAUAAAUGGUUUCAUGGUCUUCGAUAUAAACAUAUAAUUAUAUGAAAAUAAAAAAUGAAACUUUGAAACUAAUUGAAUAAUAUUACCAUAUAUAAAUUAUUUUGGUAAAUGUGUUAGUAGCCAGGAUUUUCCCACGUAAGUUUUGUGGCUAUAUUAAAAAAAUUCUAUAUCCUAUAUCCUAAACGUCUAAUUUAAAUCCUAUAUCCAAAAUAUUAAACCUAAUCUCUAUAUUUAAUAUUUUCAUAUUGUAAACCCCAAUAUUAAACAUAAAACUCUAAAUCUAUUUUUUAAAGUCCUUUCUAAAAUAAAUCUAAUUAAACACUAAACUACAUAUCUCAAACCCUAUAUCCUAAAUACAAACUUAAACCUUACAUACAAAACCAUAAAUCAAAUCUUUUUCAAACUUAAAAUCUCAUCUUAAACUUAAACUCCAUUUAAACAAAAUAAUAAUUGUAAAUCAUAAAUUAAUUUUUAAACCUUAAAAUCCAAACAUCAAACUUCAUUUCAUACUUCAAACCCUAUAAGUAAACACAUUAAAAUUUAAUUUUAAAAACUAAAUCGUAAAUCUAAUUACUAC